GAAAUGCGAUAAGUAAUGUGAAUUGCAGAAUUCAGUGAAUCAUCGAAUCUUUGAACGCACAUUGCGCCCGCCGGUAUUCCGGCGGGCAUGCCUGUUCGAGCGUCAUUUCACCACUCAAGCCCAGCUUGGUGUUGGGGCGCCCGGCCGCCGCCACGCGGUCCGGGGCCCCUAAGUUCAUCGGCGGGCUCGUCGGAACUCUGAGCGCAGUAACUCGCGGUAAAACGCGCCUCGUUCGGUUGGUUCAGGCGGGUUCUAGCCGCUAAACCCCCUAAUUAAUCUUAGGUUGACCUCGGAUCAGGUAGGAAUACCCGCUGAACUUAA
RNAcentral lists this unclassified non-coding RNA (321 nucleotides) under uncultured Magnaporthaceae. RNAcentral's name for it is "sequence contains ITS1". The stretch from base 1 to 105 matches the Rfam family "5.8S ribosomal RNA", at positions 50 to 154 of the family's 154-position model. Lineage: Eukaryota; Fungi; Ascomycota; Sordariomycetes; Magnaporthales; Magnaporthaceae. The record is from RNAcentral.